UUUUAGCGAGCGCACAAACUGCUUGAUGAGGUAGUCUCCCUCCGUUCCAGCAUUGUUGCAGGUUUCAAUGAAAUGGGCAACAUGUUAUUUCAGGUUUCCCUUUCCAUCGAACUGCAUGAAUUUUGGCGGCUGAUAACCCUUCGGCAUCUUCAAAACGUCAAUCUUCUUGGAGUAAGGCUUUGAGUAUAGUACGGAGUCCUGUGAGCUUCCUUCGUACUGUGCCUUGAUGGUGCUGGCGAUCAUCUCCUGCAGCU
This 254-nucleotide long non-coding RNA is filed under the name Malus domestica (apple). RNAcentral's name for it is "long non-coding RNA (MDOM_LNC004873)". Lineage: Eukaryota; Viridiplantae; Streptophyta; Magnoliopsida; Rosales; Rosaceae. The record is from RNAcentral.